AAGAGUCAAGGGGAAUAGGCUCCUACUGGAGCCGAGACAUGAGAUAAGCUCUAACAAGAGCCGGAAAGUUAGAGAUUCCUUUACAGAAGCCUAAAGAGAAACGAGCUCUAUAGGAGCUGAGGCUGUGGCUCUGACAAGGGCCGAGAAUGGACUGCACUAACGAGAGCCACAAGCUAUUGAUAGGGCGACCGGUUGUAGAGCUUGGAAUGUCUGAAGUUCUAGUGGUUCUGGCUGCACUUGAUUUACGAGUGGAAGGGGGCGGGACCAUAUCAGCCGACGUGUGCUGAGGCUCCUUCUGUGACGAGAGAAUGGUGAAUGCACGGAGUUACGAAUUAAAUCAUCAAGCUAUGCCAUUUUCAAGGUUAUUCAAAAAAAGUCAAGUGAUGGACGGGCUGGCGAAUGCCGUGAAUGAUAGGGCUUAUGGGAGCCUGGGGGAAUGGGGGCUCCUGAGAGCCAAAGAUAUUUGGCUCCUAAAAGUCGGGUGACAAAGAGACUAUUGAAAGCCGAAGGAUGAGGAGGGCUUAUACGAGCCAAAUUAUUGUCGACUCCUAAGAGAUGAUGUAUGAGCAUUAGCAUGAUAAAAACACAAGUAUAGAGAUAAAUUUGAAGUUGAAUUCACUAUCAAA
Molecule: non-coding RNA, 626 nt
Organism: Punica granatum (pomegranate)
Lineage: Eukaryota; Viridiplantae; Streptophyta; Magnoliopsida; Myrtales; Lythraceae
Source: RefSeq, a predicted model, not a curated record